This is a long non-coding RNA of Vulpes vulpes (red fox), 1699 nucleotides long. The record is from Ensembl. NCBI's taxonomy places the organism in Eukaryota, Metazoa, Chordata, Mammalia, Carnivora, Canidae.
AAGCAAGUUCUGUAGGGUGAGGAGGAUGCUGGUGGCCAGGCAGAGAGAGGGUGGACAGCAGAGGAUGAGUUCCCGUGAUUAAAGGAACCUCAGCUGCUGCUGUCAUGAUUAACUAAUUUAAAAAUCUAACACAAAUAUAACCCGGCGUUAACACUUAAUUCUGGUGAGAACGUGCGUGGUGUGAUUCUCUGUAUUUUUCUUUUGCUUUUAGGUAUUUCUUAAGAUGUUCUUUCAAAAUUAACUUAGAACAAGGAGCACGCUGGCUUAGUAGUACAACCCAGGGUCUGUAAUUACGGCCACGCUGGCUCUGUCCAUGCACGUCCUGGACGCCUCCACACAGCAGCUGGGGGAGUCCCCUCAUGGUCCCCCGAGGCAGGUAGGGUCACCCACUCUGGAGACAAGGAGGCGGGUGCCUGGCUGGGGCCGGGGCGCAGGUCGGUGCUGGAGCAGGGCUUGCCCCUGGCCGAGGGGCUGCACAGCUCCCGCCUGCCUUCACACCGUCGUGGUUGCCGCACGCUCGACUAUGGUGAAGACACUCUCUGAGAAUAAUUAUUAAAAGGGAAUCUGAGUGCUAACUCCUGUUUCUUUGGUAGCUUAUGUGGACUGAAUUCAGAUGUCCCCUAUGUUAUUUGAGGUAGAAAAUGUCACGUGUUGGUUUGCAAGUUUCUUUAAAACACAUUGUAAAGCUUUACUACGGUUGCCUUUUUCUUUUCCAUAUUUUGCCUUUAUUUGGUGGCUGAAGUGACUUUUGUAUUUCAACGAUGAUGACAAGGUCACCGUGCCGUUGCCGCCGUAUCCAGUCACACUGGCUCAGCCUUCAGCCUAGCACUGCCCCACGCCCGUCCACGCGGGUGCUCCUCCCAGACACCCUGGGGGAGGCUGGUGGCUCCGUGACCCCCCACGGCCCCGAGGCAGAUGACCCUCUCCUGGGUGAAAGCCAUACAUGCAGGCUGAGAAGAGCACAGAACACCUGCCACAAGAUUGGAACUCAUCGAUCAUCCCUUUCUAAGUGUUGCUGUUUCCCUCUUUCUCAGCUUUGACCCUGAGCAGUAAACAAUCGAAUGCCUGAAUUUUUCAUUUAAAAUUUUAAGCAUUUCUUACGACUUUCAGAUUCUCUAAAUGUUCGGGGUUUUUUUUUUUUUUUAAGGAUUUUAUUUAUUUAUUCAUGAGAGACAGAGAGAGAGGAGAGAGAGAGAGAGGCAGAGACCCAGGCAGAGGGAGAAGCAGGCUCCAUGUAGGGAGCCCGAUGUGGGACUCGAUCCCAGAUCGUGGGAUCACACCCUGAGCCGAAGGCAAACGGCCAACCACUGAGCCACCCAGGUGUCCCAGAUUCUCUAAAUGUUAUUUUAGAGAUGCCCUCAAGUUCAAAAAUCCCAGACUCGGCUCAGCCAGAGGAAUGCUGUCACUCCCAGAAUUGCAAGUGGUGCUUACUGUGUGUUGCCUGAAGACUCGUCACUCCAGCAGCAGAAAACCCAAAUCCCCGCCACCCCCCCACCAACGAUGUCUGCUGAGUCAGCAGCUGUCUCUGGGGUGCCAGGGGGGCUCAGCUCGUUGGGCAUCCGACUCUUGGUUUGGGCUCCGGUCACAAUCUUGGGGCCAUGGAAUCGGACCUGGCAUUGGCUUCGCGCUUGGCUGGGAGUCUGCCUGAGAUCCUCUCCCUCUCGCUCCCUCUGCCCCUCCCGUGCUCGUUCCCUCUCUG